UGGGGAAUAUUGCGCAAUGGACGAAAGUCUGACGCAGCGACGCCGCGUGUGGGAGGAAGCUCUUCGGGGUGUAAACCACUGUCAGGAGGGAAGAACGGCGCCGGUUCGAACAGUUCCGGCGAUUGACGGUACCUCCAAAGGAAGCGCCGGCUAACUCCGUGCCAGCAGCCGCGGUAAGACGGAGGGCGCAAGCGUUGUUCGGAAUUACUGGGCGUAAAGCGUGCGCAGGCGGUUGUGUAAGUCGGAUGUGAAAACUCAGGGCUCAACCCUGAGACGCCAUCCGAUACUGCGCUGACUUGAAUCCAGUAGGGGAGUGUGGAAUUCCUGGUGUAGCGGUGAAAUGCGCAGAUAUCAGGAGGAACACCCAUGGCGAAGGCAGCACUCUGGGCUGGUAUUGACGCUGAGGAGCGAAAGCAUGGGUAGCGAACAGGAUUAGAUACCCUGGUAGUCCCUGAGCGGGCUGGCAAGGCGCAU
This 474-nucleotide ribosomal RNA is filed under the name uncultured bacterium. RNAcentral's name for it is "bacterial SSU rRNA". It matches the Rfam family "Bacterial small subunit ribosomal RNA", at positions 355 to 825 of the family's 1533-position model. The record is from RNAcentral.